Molecule: ribosomal RNA, 253 nt
Filed under: uncultured bacterium
Lineage: Bacteria
Description: partial 16S ribosomal RNA
Rfam family: Bacterial small subunit ribosomal RNA
Source: RNAcentral
UACGUAGGGUGCAAGCGUUGUCCGGAAUUAUUGGGCGUAAAGAGCUUGUAGGCGGUUUGUCGCGUCUGCUGUGAAAUUUCGGGGCUCAACCCCGAACUUGCAGUGGGUACGGGCAGACUAGAGUGUGGUAGGGGAGACUAGAAUUCCUGGUGUAGCGGUGAAAUGCGCAGAUAUCAGGAGGAACACCGAUGGCGAAGGCAGGUCUCUGGGCCACUACUGACGCUGAGAAGCGAAAGCAUGGGGAGCGAACAGG